AGUGAACGCUGGCGGUAGGCCUAACACAUGCAAGUCGAACGGCAGCACAGUAAGAGCUUGCUCUUACGGGUGGCGAGUGGCGGACGGGUGAGGAAUACAUCGGAAUCUACUUUUUCGUGGGGGAUAACGUAGGGAAACUUACGCUAAUACCGCAUACGACCUACGGGUGAAAGCAGGGGAUCUUCGGACCUUGCGCGAUUGAAUGAGCCGAUGUCGGAUUAGCUAGUUGGCGGGGUAAAGGCCCACCAAGGCGACGAUCCGUAGCUGGUCUGAGAGGAUGAUUAGCCACAAUGGAACUUAGACACGGUCCCGACUCCUACGGGAGGGAGCAGUGGGGAAUAUUGGACAAUGGGCGCAAACCCUGUCCAGCCAUACCGGGUGGGUGAAGAAGGCCUUCGGGUUGGUAAACCCUUUUUUUGGGAAAGAAAAGCAGCAGGUUAAUACCCCGCUGUUCUGACGGUACCCAAAGAAUAAGCACCGGCUAACUUCGUG
This 492-nucleotide ribosomal RNA is filed under the name uncultured bacterium. RNAcentral's name for it is "partial 16S ribosomal RNA". It matches the Rfam family "Bacterial small subunit ribosomal RNA", at positions 29 to 507 of the family's 1533-position model. The record is from RNAcentral.